This 400-nucleotide transfer-messenger RNA is filed under the name Muribaculaceae bacterium. It matches the Rfam family "transfer-messenger RNA". From Rfam's summary of the family: Bacterial tmRNA, also known as 10Sa RNA or SsrA, is named for its dual tRNA and mRNA-like properties. Lineage: Bacteria; Pseudomonadati; Bacteroidota; Bacteroidia; Bacteroidales; Muribaculaceae. The record is from RNAcentral.
GGGGAUGACCGGUUUUGACAGCGUGUAGAAGUGGUGAAGUAAGCAUGCAGAGCAAUGAUGGCUACGCUCUUUAAUCUGGGACAUCAAAAAUUUAAAUGGCGAAAACAACUACGCUCUUGCUGCUUGAUUGAAGUACAGUAGAUCAGCUUAAUCUCGGCAACAGUUGCUGAGACAAGACAUCACCCGAUUGUCAACGUCCCGAGACGGAUCGAACAGGUGGUGCAGGUAAAUCGGGAAUAGGAAUCUGAAAGCCUCGCGAUGAUUCCGAAACUUUAGAGGAUAAGGACACCAUUGGUCGUCGCUUGCCUGUGGUGCCACGAAAACCAAGUAGUGACUAAGCAUGUAGAAAGCUCAUUAAUUCCGCGUUUGGACGAGGGUUCAACCCCCUCCAUCUCCACUA